This 329-nucleotide RNase P RNA is filed under the name human gut metagenome. RNAcentral describes it as "Bacterial RNase P class A". It matches the Rfam family "Bacterial RNase P class A". Rfam says of the family: Ribonuclease P (RNase P) is a ubiquitous endoribonuclease, found in archaea, bacteria and eukarya as well as chloroplasts and mitochondria. Its best characterised activity is the generation of mature 5'-ends of tRNAs by cleaving the 5'-leader elements of precursor-tRNAs. The record is from RNAcentral.
AGUCGGCUGUACGGUCGCGCGGCUUUGCCGUGAGGAAAGUCCGAGCCCCGCAGGGCAGAAUAACAGCUAACGGCUGCCGAGGGUGACCUCAGGGAGAGUGCAACAGAGAUAUACCGCCGAUAAGAAAUUAUCGGUAAGGGUGGAAAGGCGAGGUAAGAGCUCACCGCGUCUGCUGGUAACUUCAGACGCCUGUAAACCCUAUUCGGAGCAACGCUGACUGCAGCGAUACACUUGCCCGGUGUGCUGCGAAAAGCGGCUUGAGCGGAAAAGCGAUUUUCCGUCGAGAUAGAUGACCGUAUUCAACAGAACUCGGCUUACAGGCCGGCUCG